RNAcentral lists this long non-coding RNA (199 nucleotides) under Sorghum bicolor (sorghum). RNAcentral's name for it is "long non-coding RNA (SBIC_LNC008119)". Lineage: Eukaryota; Viridiplantae; Streptophyta; Magnoliopsida; Poales; Poaceae. The record is from RNAcentral.
CCGUAGUAAUUAGUUUUUUUAAUUUAUUGUUUUCUCUUGAGUGAUAUAUUAUUCUUAGUUGCUUUGUUUGUUGUUUUCAUGUUUGUCUAUAUGUGGUGCUUGCAACGAGUAGAUGAGAGUUGCUUGUGGUUGUUGAAGAUCAGAAGAUGAUGACCGAAAGUUGGUGGUGUGAGAAUUAAGUUUUGAUCAAGGCAUGUAU